UACGGAGGGUGCGAGCGUUGUCCGGAAUCACUGGGCGUAAAGGGCGCGUAGGCGGCCUGAUAAGUAGGGGGUGAAAUCUUGCGGCUUAACCGCAAGGCUGCCUUCUAAACUGUCAGGCUAGAGCACAGUAGAGGCAGGUGGAAUUCCCGGUGUAGCGGUGGAAUGCGUAGAGAUCGGGAAGAACAUCAGUGGCGAAGGCGGCCUGCUGGGCUGUUGCUGACGCUGAGGCGCGACAGCGUGGGGAGCAAACAGGG
Molecule: ribosomal RNA, 254 nt
Filed under: uncultured bacterium
Lineage: Bacteria
Description: partial 16S ribosomal RNA
Rfam family: Bacterial small subunit ribosomal RNA
Source: RNAcentral